AACGCACAUUGCGCCCGCCAGCAUUCUGGCGGGCAUGCCUGUUCGAGCGUCAUUUCAACCCUCGAGCCCGACUCUUUUGAGGACGGCUCGGCGUUGGGGGACGGCAGACUCCCCCCGGCAUCUCGCCGGGGACGCCGCCCCCGAAAUCUAGUGGCGGCCCUCCGAGGCGACCUCUGCGUAGUAACUUGUUCUCGCACCGGAAAGCUCAGAGCGGCCACGCCGUAAAACCCCAACUUUUUUCAGGUUGACCUCGAAUCAGGUAGGACUACCCGCUGAACUUAA
Molecule: unclassified non-coding RNA, 282 nt
Filed under: uncultured fungus
Lineage: Eukaryota; Fungi
Description: partial contains 5.8S ribosomal RNA, internal transcribed spacer 2, and large subunit ribosomal RNA
Source: RNAcentral